AUGGCAGCAAGGACUAGCGUGCUGUCAACGCGGUGGAGAAACUUGCCGUGGUUACUUCCUGAUCUCAAACUUAAUGUCACUGACUUCCUUAGUGCCCCAUGUACAGGGGCUGCACACACUGAUCAAGCAAUGGCGUCUCUGACAAGAGCCACUAGCAGCUUCUUGGCUCAGCCCCGCAGGGAACACACCAUCUCAACACUAUGCCUCAAGCUUUAUCUCAUGGGCAACUACUCGCGUGACAUUGGCCUGCUAGUUAGCAAUGCCAUUGACUGCAAGAUGCUAAAAGAUUUGGAACUCUCCAUUUUAACUGAGAAGGAGGUCAAGGACUCCGAAAACGAGGUUAUGUUACGGCAAGCUCGGGAUGUGGAUGGAUUUUUCAGUGAGUACCCUAGUGUUCUUCGCUGCCUCACAAGGCUCCAUCUACAUAAUGUUCGCUUCGCCGAACGCGACAUGAAUCACCUCCUAUUUGAUUGUUGCAAGCAAUUGCUGCACCUUCGUCUGGACCACUGUGACACUAGGGACUUAUCUGUAUGGAAGAUCAAUGCGCCACAUUCGAAUCUCAGAGUUCUAGAAGUCUACUUGUCCUCAUUGAAAAGAGCUGAGGUGCUCUGCCUUCCAAAACUAGAGCGGGUCCGUUGGCAGGCUUGGUUGUUUCAUGAGGCCCCCUUGUGUUUUGGUUCUGUCCCGUCACUCAAGGAAUUGUAUCUCAAAUGUGAUGCAACUCUCUGUCACCAAGACUUUAGUUUAAGCCAGGUUCUAGAUGGUACCACAAACAUACACACUAUGACCUUAAACUUUCGAGGAGAAAAGAUCUGGAUGCAACCAGAAAGAAAACAACUCUGCACUGCAUUCAACAAGCUAAGAAAGUUGUUUAUUCAUGGUAUCUUUACAAAAUUUGAUCUGUUAUGGACAUUAAAUCUCAUCGAAGCUGCUCCAUCUGUUGAGACAUUUGAUGUUGAGAUGUUUGAACAUCCAUGCCUGGAGGGUGAUGAAGCAAGAAUAAGAUGUUUUAGUGCUCAGAGAGUGGAACCUUCAUGGAAGAUUCCUGGGUUCACGAGCUGUCAGAAGUGGCAAUUGAAAGAGUUUCAGUUUGGUGGUUUUAGGCCCCUACUGAAGCAUCACUUGUUAUUUGCAAGUACCGUGAUGGGUCGAGCUCCAGAUCUGAAGACGGUUCUUCUGACAGAUGGUCAAUAUCCAUGCAAGGGCUGUGAUGCAAUGAUCCCUAUACCUCCUCCUGUAGGGGGCUUCUUUCCAAGGGACAGGGAUACACAAGAGGCAAUAGUCAAGCAACUUAGAGAGAUCGUCCAGUCCUCAGCACAGAUAAUUUUCCGUGGUGGUUCGACACACCCCUCUCGAGCCACCUGGUCAUGUAUUUAUUAG
This 1380-nucleotide ribosomal RNA is filed under the name Triticum aestivum (bread wheat). RNAcentral's name for it is "partial small subunit ribosomal RNA". The record is from RNAcentral. Lineage: Eukaryota; Viridiplantae; Streptophyta; Magnoliopsida; Poales; Poaceae.